GAAUAUGCCUUUCGGUUCGGAACAACUCGGGGAAACCCGUGCUAAUUCCGGAUACGCCCUUACGGGGAAAGAUUUAUCGCCGAAAGAUUAGCCCGCGUCCGAUUAGCUAGUUGGUGAGGUAAAGGCUCACCAAGGCACCGAUCGGUAGCUGGUUUGAGAGAACGACCAGCCACACUGGGACUGAGACACGGCCCAGACUCCUACGGGAGGCAGCAGUGGGGAAUCUUGGACAAUGGGCGCAAGCCUGAUCCAGCCAUGCCGCGUGAGUGAUGAAGGCCUUCGGGUUGUAAAACUCUUUUGGCGGGGACGAUAAUGACGGUACCCGCAGAAUAAGCUCCGGCUAACUUCGUGCCAGCAGCCGCGGUAAUACGAAGGGGGCUAGCGUUGUUCGGAAUUACUGGGCGUAAAGCGUGCGCAGGCGGCUUCUCAAGUCAGGGGUGAAAGCCCAGAGCUCAACUCUGGAAUUGCCUUUGAGACUGAGUGGCUUGAGUACGAGAGAGGUGAGUGGAAUUCCCAGUGUAGAGGUGAAAUUCGUAGAUAUUGGGAAGAACACCGGUGGCGAAGGCGGCUCACUGGCUCGUAACUGACGCUCAUGCA
This 597-nucleotide ribosomal RNA is filed under the name uncultured Hyphomicrobiales bacterium. RNAcentral's name for it is "bacterial SSU rRNA". It matches the Rfam family "Bacterial small subunit ribosomal RNA", at positions 122 to 753 of the family's 1533-position model. The record is from RNAcentral. Lineage: Bacteria; Pseudomonadati; Pseudomonadota; Alphaproteobacteria; Hyphomicrobiales.